RNAcentral lists this ribosomal RNA (254 nucleotides) under uncultured bacterium. RNAcentral describes it as "partial 16S ribosomal RNA". It matches the Rfam family "Bacterial small subunit ribosomal RNA", at positions 524 to 776 of the family's 1533-position model. The record is from RNAcentral.
UACGUAGGGGGCAAGCGUUGUCCGGAAUUAUUGGGCGUAAAGAGCUCGUAGGCGGUGUGUCGCGUCGGCCGUGAAAACCUGGGGCUCAACUCCGGGCGUGCGGUCGAUACGGGCAUCACUAGAGUUCGGCAGGGGAGACUGGAAUUCCUGGUGUAGCGGUGAAAUGCGCAGAUAUCAGGAGGGACACCGGUGGCGAAGGCGGGUCUCUGGGCCGAUACUGACGCUGAGGAGCGAAAGCAUGGGUAGCGAACAGG